Molecule: long non-coding RNA, 191 nt
Filed under: Pandoravirus neocaledonia
Description: hypothetical ncRNA
Source: RNAcentral
GGCUGAUGUCGUCGGUGCGCUUCUCGUCCUUGGCGGCGGCGUCGCCCUCGGCCGGCGCCGGCUCGGGGUUCUCCAGGUGGUACUUGGCCCACUCGAUGACCUUGCCGAGGAUCUUGCCGGUGACGUUGGGCAGCGGGAUGGCGUUCUCAUUGUCGGCGUCGACGUCGUCGAGCAUGUGCUUGACGGUGACG